GUAACACGUGGGCAAUCUGCCCUUCACUCUGGGACAAGCCCUGGAAACGGGGUCUAAUACCGGAUACGACCUCCGACCGCAUGGUCUGGUGGUGGAAAGCUCCGGCGGUGAAGGAUGAGCCCGCGGCCUAUCAGCUUGUUGGUGGGGUGAUGGCCUACCAAGGCGACGACGGGUAGCCGGCCUGAGAGGGCGACCGGCCACACUGGGACUGAGACACGGCCCAGACUCCUACGGGAGGCAGCAGUGGGGAAUAUUGCACAAUGGGCGAAAGCCUGAUGCAGCGACGCCGCGUGAGGGAUGACGGCCUUCGGGUUGUAAACCUCUUUCAGCAGGGAAGAAGCGAGAGUGACGGUACCUGCAGAAGAAGCGCCGGCUAACUACGUGCCAGCAGCCGCGGUAAUACGUAGGGCGCAAGCGUUGUCCGGAAUUAUUGGGCGUAAAGAGCUCGUAGGCGGCUUGUCACGUCGGAUGUGAAAGCCCGGGGCUUAACCCCGGGUCUGCAUUCGAUACGGGCAGGCUAGAGUUCGGUAGGGGAGAUCGGAAUUCCUGGUGUAGCGGUGAAAUGCGCAGAUAUCAGGAGGAACACCGGUGGCGAAGGCGGAUCUCUGGCCGAUACUGACGCGA
This 624-nucleotide ribosomal RNA is filed under the name Streptomyces angustmyceticus. RNAcentral describes it as "bacterial SSU rRNA". It matches the Rfam family "Bacterial small subunit ribosomal RNA", at positions 110 to 748 of the family's 1533-position model. The record is from RNAcentral. Lineage: Bacteria; Bacillati; Actinomycetota; Actinomycetes; Kitasatosporales; Streptomycetaceae.